This 503-nucleotide ribosomal RNA is filed under the name uncultured bacterium. Its description in RNAcentral is "bacterial SSU rRNA". It matches the Rfam family "Bacterial small subunit ribosomal RNA", at positions 10 to 509 of the family's 1533-position model. The record is from RNAcentral.
AGUUUGAUCCUGGCUCAGGAUGAACGCUGGCGGCGUGCUUAACACAUGCAAGUCGAACGGAGUGCUCAUGACGGAGGAUUCGUCCAACGGAUUGAGUUACUUAGUGGCGGACGGGUGAGUAACGCGUGAGGAACCUGCCUCGGAGUGGGGAAUAACAGCCCGAAAGGGUUGCUAAUACCGCAUGAUGCAGUUGGGCCGCAUGGCUCUGACUGCCAAAGAUUUAUCGCUCUGAGAUGGCCUCGCGUCUGAUUAGCUAGUUGGCGGGGUAACGGCCCACCAAGGCGACGAUCAGUAGCCGGACUGAGAGGUUGACCGGCCACAUUGGGACUGAGACACGGCCCAGACUCCUACGGGAGGCAGCAGUGGGGAAUAUUGGGCAAUGGGCGCAAGCCUGACCCAGCAACGCCGCGUGAAGGAUGAAGGCUUUCGGGUUGUAAACUUCUUUUAUUCGGGACGAAACAAAUGACGGUACCGAAUGAAUAAGCCACGGCUAACUACGUGCC